CCAGCUCCUGGAGGGGUGAAGGGCCCCCAGCUCGCUGCGGCAGCGCCAUUCCUUCCUCUGAGCCAUGGCAGCACUGAACUUGGAUGCGAGGAGGCUUAGCGACCUGUCCCCAGGUGAGUGCCCGAGCUCUGCUGGGAGGACUGGGCAGGUGGAGCCAGGGCUCCCUGCUGGCAGGAGGGUCAGACCAGAGAGGCUGCUGCUACUGCUGCAGCUUUCAACCUCUUUGGCGCUGCUGUUAUGGGUUCCAGGGCUGGUCAGUCAUGCAAGACAUCUGCCUCAUCCUGGUGAAAAGUUUCCCUUUUAAUAUUAUUUUUUGAACUCAUUUACUCUGGCUGCUCAAAAAACGAAGAAAGACAUUCAGCCUUCUGCGUAAGAAAACAGUGGCAAGUUCAGUGGAAAGUGACAGUGCUCUUAGUACCGGGAUUUCAGAGAUCAAAAACUCACUCUAAGGACUCGAAAAACAAAGGAAGCUCUGCGACAGAGAAUGUUCUUCUUCAUUCAUCAUUUGAAAGCCUGCCUCAAAUAGUGCUAAGAACAAAUUAUUUUCGAUAUGAGUUAGCCCCGGGGGUUUGAUAAAAGGGGCUUUUCCUACCCAGCUAGCUAACGAGACGUGCUCUGCAGAAGACCUGAGUGAGUGGGAUGGCAGUUCUAGGAUCCCCCAGACCCCGGGGAGCUUUUCUUAUCCAGGGAGCCAAAAGACAAAGAUGGUUCCCCAGCCUGGAUGAAUAUGGGAUCUGCACAAACAGUGCUCAUUCAUCAGCUCUGUAAGCCUGGAAAUCUUCUGAGGAAAGGUGGAAAACAAAUUAAUGUCCAAUCUCCAAACUCCUGUAGGUUGUCCACUGCUGAACUGUUCCAAGGAAAAGCAGCUUCCUAGCUGGGAGAGAUGUGUCUGGCUUCCACUGCAGAUCAGCCUUGAACACUCAAAGACAAAUCUGCCUGCUCUGAAUAUUGCCUGAGGAUUUAGACAGGUCUUUCUUGGAAACAGAAGAAUGAGAUGAAACAAUCAUCUGUAAAGCAUGAUAUAAUGAAGAAAGAUUAUCAUUGCUCUGUGUGGCUGCAGCAGCUCUGGUCAGCAAAUAAUAACGACAUUGUCUCACUGGUCAGACCUGCCUCCCAGAGAACAACAACAUGUUAAGUGAUGUCUUGGUGGUAUUUUGGGCCCUCAUUUAUGUGAUGGCAAUAGAAAUCUAGAAGGAAAGGGCCUUUCUUGUUUGUGACAUAACGAAUUUCAUGCCAUUCUCUGCAAAUUCUGUUAGUCGUGACCAAAAUCAGCUUAUUUGUGCACAGAUGACUCUGAGAAGAAGCAGUGAAAGACCUUUAAAGCAAAGACCUUGGUUUUGCAUGAUACACCUACAUAAAAUGUUGG
Oxyura jamaicensis (ruddy duck) is the source of this 1366-nucleotide long non-coding RNA. RefSeq lists it as uncharacterized. The record is from RefSeq and is a predicted model, not a curated record. The transcript has 6 exons. Lineage: Eukaryota; Metazoa; Chordata; Aves; Anseriformes; Anatidae.